This 612-nucleotide long non-coding RNA is filed under the name Vulpes vulpes (red fox). RNAcentral's name for it is "lncRNA (ENSVVUG00000018030.1)". Lineage: Eukaryota; Metazoa; Chordata; Mammalia; Carnivora; Canidae. The record is from RNAcentral.
CGAGGAGCGCGCUCUCCCCCGGCGCGGGAAAGCUCAGCCUGGGGGGCGCCUCCUGGCACCUGCCGCGGGGACUGCAGGAGACGCCGCUUGAAUCGCCUGCCUUUGCCUUCUCCACCCGCGCCCUUGAAGAAGCAUGGUGAUUUUGGCCAUUCAGUGCCAGCCUGAAAAAAGCACAGAGGAACAGUGGUGUGUGACUUGAGGGCAGAGGCCAAAACACCUCCCCCCCUUCCCAACUGCAGUAGAAAUUCCUUCCUUAGGUAAGAUCCAUGCUGCUAGAGGAGUCCUCAGGGCCACUGCCACAACACUGGAUGUCAGGAUUGAGCACUCCGCAGACCAUACUACAGGCUUCUCCCACAGCUCCUGGUGAAACCUGGUCUCUUAAGUGCUUCAUAUGCUGAGGAUUUCACCUCUGCACAUGCAAAUUGCCCCCUUCCAUCUGAUCAAAACCUUUUAGACUUCAGCCUGGCAUUCCUUCCCUCUGUCAGCCUCCAGUCAACAAGAACUCUGCAUCACCCAUUCACAGAUGCUCAGGAGCAUCACAUGGCUGAAACCAUGAUAGGCCACAGAAUAUGUGAGACCCCUUAUCUCUACUCAUGUGGUUUUGUUGUUUUC